This 254-nucleotide ribosomal RNA is filed under the name uncultured bacterium. Its description in RNAcentral is "partial 16S ribosomal RNA". It matches the Rfam family "Bacterial small subunit ribosomal RNA", at positions 524 to 777 of the family's 1533-position model. The record is from RNAcentral.
UACGUAGGGUGCGAGCGUUAAUCGGAAUUACUGGGCGUAAAGCGUGCGCAGGCGGUUCGUUGUGUCGGCGGUGAAAGCCCCGGGCUCAACCUGGGAAUGGCCGUUGAAACUGGCGAACUGGAGUGUGGCAGAGGGGGGUGGAAUUCCGCGUGUAGCAGUGAAAUGCGUAGAUAUGCGGAGGAACACCGAUGGCGAAGGCAAUCCCCUGGACCUGUACUGACGCUCAUGCACGAAAGCGUGGGGAGCAAACGAGG